Molecule: ribosomal RNA, 477 nt
Filed under: uncultured bacterium
Lineage: Bacteria
Description: partial 16S ribosomal RNA
Rfam family: Bacterial small subunit ribosomal RNA
Source: RNAcentral
AUUGAACGCUGGCGGCAUGCCUUACACAUGCGAGUCGAACGGUAACAGGUUAAGCUGACGAGUGGCGAACGGGUGAGUAAUGUAUCGGAACGUGCCCAGUCGUGGGGGAUAACUGCUCGAAAGAGCAGCUAAUACCGCAUACGACCUGAGGGUGAAAGCGGGGGAUCGCAAGACCUCGCGCGAUUGGAGCGGCCGAUAUCAGAUUAGGUAGUUGGUGAGGUAAAGGCUCACCAAGCCGACGAUCUGUAGCUGGUCUGAGAGGACGACCAGCCACACUGGGACUGAGAAACGGCCCAGACUCCUACGGGAGGCAGCAGUGGGGAAUUUUGGACAAUGGGCGCAAGCCUGAUCCAGCCAUGCCGCGUGCGGGAAGAAGGCCUUCGGGUUGUAAACCGCUUUUGUCAGGGAAGAAAAGGUUCUGGCUAAUACCUGGGACUCAUGACGGUACCUGAAGAAUAAGCACCGGCUAACUACGUG